UGGCGGCGUGCCUAAUACAUGCAAGUCGAGCGGUAAUAUUUCUAGCUUGCUAGAAGAUGACGAGCGGCGGACGGGUGAGUAACGCGUAGAAAUCUACCUAGUAGUGGGGGAUAGCCCAGAGAAAUUUGGAUUAAUACCGCAUACGCCCUACGGGGGAAAGCGGGGGAUCUUCGGACCUCGUGCUAUUAGAUGAGUCUGCGUCGGAUUAGCUUGUUGGUGAGGUAAUGGCUCACCAAGGCGACGAUCCGUAGCUGGUCUGAGAGGAUGACCAGCCACACUGGAACUGAGACACGGUCCAGACUCCUACGGGAGGCAGCAGUGGGGAAUAUUGCACAAUGGGCGCAAGCCUGAUGCAGCCAUGCCGCGUGUGUGAAGAAGGCCUUAGGGUUGUAAAGCACUUUCAGCAGUGAGGAAAGGGGUGUCGUUAAUAGCGCCAUCCUGUGACGUUAACUGCAGAAGAAGGACCGGCUAACUCCGUG
Molecule: ribosomal RNA, 479 nt
Filed under: uncultured bacterium
Lineage: Bacteria
Description: bacterial SSU rRNA
Rfam family: Bacterial small subunit ribosomal RNA
Source: RNAcentral